RNAcentral lists this transfer RNA (2316 nucleotides) under Oryctolagus cuniculus (rabbit). RNAcentral's name for it is "lncRNA (ENSOCUG00000037765.1)". The stretch from base 1015 to 1087 matches the Rfam family "tRNA". The record is from RNAcentral. Lineage: Eukaryota; Metazoa; Chordata; Mammalia; Lagomorpha; Leporidae.
GCUCUGGCUCUGCUCUGACACAGCUUCAUCAUGGCAGUACCUCCCAGCACUGUUCCCAGCCCAACACAAAUGUUCCUGGCACAACUGGCAUACUGCUUGCUGUUUACUACAUGGAUGCGGGCUGAGGAGACAAGACUCCCUAGCUCAGGCUCGGGCCAGAGAACUCACCCACUUACGGCGCAAGAUACAGGAAGGGAGAGAGGUCUGCUCCUUCUUUGCCCAGCACCUGAAGGACAUGGGCCAGGCUUUUGAGGGCCUCCUCAGGAACACGGAUGUUGCCCGCCAUCUGGGACAGAGAUUCCCUGAGCAGUAGCUGGCAGAGAGCCUUGCCAGAAAGCUCACGGCGGAACAAUCCCAAACACGAGGGCUCUGACGCCGGGGCGUUCCUCGACUCCACAUCUAACCCGCCAGGAGCGCGUGUGUUCCUGUGGCUCCAAGACCGGCCUUGCUGUCACCCGCUCCUUCCUCCUGGUGACGGAGUUCAAGUAAGCGGCGCGGACCAAGGCGAGCAGACACAUGUCCCUCGCGUCCCCCGGGAGUGGCACUGGGCUGUCCUUGCGCGCCUCCGUCGGCUCUGUCCUCCGCUUCAGCCUCUGCCUGGCCUGCCCAGGGCCCAGGGACCGUGGCGGGGCCCUGGCUGCGCGGCUCUUGUGGGAGGGGCUGGCACCCGGCAGCUCCCGGGGCGGCCCGCGGAGGAGCUCCAGCGGCUCCUUCGGGGAUGCGCGGGGGCGUUGCGAGGCGCAGGCAUGCGGGGCCGCAGGGAGUGCGGGUUCCCCAGAGGCUGGCGCCCGUGCUGCUCCCGCAGGAGAGCGGACACUGCCCUCUCUCGUCCAGCAGGACCCUAAUGUGUUCGUGGAAACGCGCGGGGUUGUUAUCCGGUUUUGGUGGGGGAAGUGACCUAUGGCGGCGGGAAGGGGACCAGAAAGGCACCACAUUGUCUCAUGAAGAUACCAGGGCACAGGCUUCUUCUGCAUGGCUUUUGGGGAAAUAUUUUGGCAUACAGUUCUGUGAUUGGUUUCUGUAGUGUAGUGGUUAUCACGUUCGCAUCACACGCGAAAGAUCCCUGGUUCGAAACCGGGCGGAAACAAAAUUCUUUUUCUGAAGCCAGGAGAAUAAGAGCAGAGUGAGGAUAAGUGGCCGUGUCCACGUGUCCACGCAGCUCACAUCAACCAGACCUCGUUUCUCUUCUCCCGUGCUGGCCAUUGUCACCCCGCUCUUGCCAGAUUUACAAGAGGGAAAUGCUUUCAGGUUUUCUUUCCUCUCUUUCUUUCUCUCUCUCUCUCUCUUUCUCUUCUUUUCUUUUAAAUAUUUAUUUAUUUGAAAUACAGAGUUAGAGAAAGAUGGAGACACAGAGAGAAGUCUUCCUUCUGCUGGUUCACUCCCCAAAUGGCCUCAACAGCUGAAGCUGAGACAAUCCACAGCCAGGUGCCAGGACCCUUUUCCAAAUCUCCAGGUGAAGGAAGGGGCCCAAGGACUUGGCCAUCCUCCACUGCUAUCCAGGGAAGCAGCCGGGACACGAACCGGAGCCUAUGGGGAAGCCAGCGCCGCAGACCACAGUGUAGGCCCCUCAGGUUUCUUACAGUGAAUCUUCUCCACAGGCCUCAGUCCUCUGCCUAAGCUGACACGGAACCAGUGCUUUCUGGUUUGUGAGCUCCAGAGGGGAGCUGAGGAGAGGCCUGCUUGGCUUCCCACCCUAUGGGAACACAGCUGCAGAACCCACUGAUUGGUGGAGAGAAACUUAAUUUAAAUCUGCAUCUGGAUCUCAAACCAAGCUGAUACUGUCAAUAUUCCUCAGGCACCCCGGUUGAAAGUAUAUAUUUACAUUAACCCACCCCCACCCAAGAGAAUUCUCAGGACACUGUGAGGGUUGCAUGCCCCCUCUGAAGGUUCAGGCAGCCGACAGUUUUAAUAACUGGAAAUCCAGCAUGUUCUGAGUGGGUCCUGAUGGCUCCCAACCCCUUGCCCACCCUCUCUUCUGCUUUGUCCCUGGCGUUCUUGGUGCUGUCUUCACUGGUGUGGAGCCACCACAGCCAGAGCUUUGCCUUUUCUCCCAGGAGAGCUUUAGAGCCCUGGUCUUAGAUGGUGCUGCUUGGAAGGGCUUGGGUGGCCAGUGGAGGAUGGCCCAAGUGAUUGGCCCCUGCACCCAUGUAGGAGACCCGGAAGAAGUUCCUGGCUUCAGCCUGGCACAGCCCCAGCUCUUGAGGUCAUUUAGGGGAUAAAUCAGCAGAUGGAAGAUUUUUCUCUCUCUUCCUCUCUCUGUCCCUGUAACUCUGCCUUUCAAAUAAAUAAGUAAAUCUUUAAAAAAAAUAAAAGCUC